AUGAGUUAGGGUCUCUCUGGCCCGACCUCCCAACCAUUUGUUUACUGAACCCAUGUUGCUUCGGCGGACCCGCCCAGAUUGGCCGCCGGAGGGCUGCCGAGAGGCGUCCCUCUGGCCUGCGUCCGCCGAGAGCCUAACUCCGAAAACUCUUGAUUAAAACUAUGCCGUGUCUAAGUGAUUAAAUAAAUGAAAAGCA
RNAcentral lists this unclassified non-coding RNA (196 nucleotides) under uncultured Chaetothyriales. RNAcentral describes it as "sequence contains ITS1". Lineage: Eukaryota; Fungi; Ascomycota; Eurotiomycetes; Chaetothyriales. The record is from RNAcentral.